Molecule: ribosomal RNA, 400 nt
Filed under: uncultured bacterium
Lineage: Bacteria
Description: bacterial SSU rRNA
Rfam family: Bacterial small subunit ribosomal RNA
Source: RNAcentral
CGGGUCUUGACAUCCAAUGAACUUUCCAGAGAUGGAUUGGUGCCUUCGGGAGCAUUGAGACAGGUGCUGCAUGGCUGUCGUCGGCUCGUGUCGUGAGAUGUUGGGUUAAGUCCCGCAACGAGCGCAACCCUUAUCCUUUGUUGCCAGCGGUCCGGCCGGGAACUCUAAGGAGACUGCCAGUGAUAAACUGGAGGAAGGUGGGGAUGACGUCAAGUCAUCAUGGCCCUUACGACCAGGGCUACACACGUGCUACAAUGGCGCAUACAAAGAGAAGCGACCUCGCGAGAGCAAGCGGACCUCAUAAAGUGCGUCGUAGUCCGGAUUGGAGUCUGCAACUCGACCCCAUGAAGUCGGAAUCGCUAGUAAUCGUGGAUCAGAAUGCCACGGUGAAUACGUUCCC